RNAcentral lists this long non-coding RNA (1027 nucleotides) under Bos grunniens (domestic yak). RNAcentral describes it as "lncRNA (ENSBGRG00000026706.1)". The record is from RNAcentral. Lineage: Eukaryota; Metazoa; Chordata; Mammalia; Artiodactyla; Bovidae.
UAAUCUGUAACAGCGAGUGAGGCUGAUGGCAGAUUUCAUCUGCGGGCAGACAACUCAGUUUUGGAGAAAAUUAUAAUAGUACAGUUACCAGGACGCACACAGAGUUCAACUUUUCUGCCCAAGUAUCAGAGUGAUUCAGGACCUUAAUUUAUAUUUUUAUAUAAGCUAGGUGACACCUUUUGCCUUUGGUGAGGCAAGAUCACUUAACUAAAAAAGAAAACCAUAGUAAAAAAAAAAAAAAAAAUUCUAUAUAAAUGUUCUUUGACAGAAGGGUAAAAGCCAUUUUCAAUAAGACUCCUCUAAGAACCUACAUCAGGCAGACUGAGGAAGCUUAACAUGUUUGUAGAACACCUUCUACCCGCUUACCUGAAAACCCUCCAAAUUCACCUUCACGCCGCCCGACACUGGGGCUGAGGGGGAAUGUAGGUCUGCAGCCUGACAGAGAACACAACGCCAGAGGACACAGCCGGGGCGCUGCCGGGAGCUCCGGCACGAGGGCCCACCGCGUGAGAAGAACAAGUGGACAAAACUAGCGUGAAAGCUUGGGUUUAACGUGCUCUGCCAAACUCUGCAGAGUCCCCUUGGCUCUGCCAACCUGGGUGAUGGGAGGUGUUUCCUUCUAUUCCUACCGUUGCCUUCUCCAGCUGUCCUUGUCGGGUCUGUUUGCCUCUGCUUGCUACGCUGAGGGAAACCCGAAGGGUGGACAGCCUCACCUGGACCACCGGGACACUACUGAGCAGUGACAGGCCAUCACCGCCGCCAUCACCGCCACCACCUUUGCCUGUAUCCUUUCACUGCCCUUCAGUCGCAGUGGCCACAGCUAAUUAGAGAUCCUUCGGCUGGGAUAGAGGUUAAAAAACUAAAUUCUAGUAGUAAAUCUCAUGCGAAGGGAAAAAUAAGACCUUGUCACAAAAAUAAGAAUUAUAACCCCAUGGACUGUAGUCCACCAGGCUCCUCUAUCCAUGGAAUUCUCCAGGUAAGAAUACUGGAGUGGGUUGCCAUUUCCUUCUCCAGGGGAUCUUCCUGA